Molecule: small nucleolar RNA, 116 nt
Organism: Abrus precatorius (Indian licorice)
Lineage: Eukaryota; Viridiplantae; Streptophyta; Magnoliopsida; Fabales; Fabaceae
Product: small nucleolar RNA Z278
Exons: 1
Source: RefSeq, a predicted model, not a curated record
GCUGAUGAUGAUUCAAUCCAACUUGUAUGAGGUGUUGUGGAGCCAGGUCCCUGAUUUCAGGGAGAACCUACUUGGUGAAGCUACAUUCAUAUGAUAUUAAUGGGUUUGACUGAGGC